Molecule: long non-coding RNA, 287 nt
Organism: Macrobrachium nipponense
Lineage: Eukaryota; Metazoa; Arthropoda; Malacostraca; Decapoda; Palaemonidae
Exons: 3
Source: RefSeq, a predicted model, not a curated record
AUUGCCAAUUCUGGAGUUAAACCCCUUAUUCUGGACGAAGAAACCUUGAAAGAAAUCUUUUCCCAAUUUCAGCCAGCUUUCAAGAGCAUAGGUGAAUAGAGAAGACGGGAGUCUACGAUCGCAGUUAUAGAUACGCGAACAAAGCCAGUGGAAUUAUCUGAAUUAAUGAAAAGGUUUGAUGUCAGGCCAGUGUGACUUGAUAGCAAAACGAGCGAGACUAAUAAAUUCACUUCGGAGGAUUGAGUAAAAAUUCCGUAAAAACUCUAGAAAAAAAAAUCCGUAGAAAC